AUGGGGUGCAGCAGGCGCGAAAACUUUACAAUGCCGGCAACGGCGAUAAGGGAACCUCGAGUGCCAGGUUACAAAUCUGGCUGUCGUGAUGCCUAAAAAGCAUUGCAUAGCAAGGGCCGGGCAAGACCGGUGCCAGCCGCCGCGGUAAUACCGGCGGCUCGAGUGGUGGCCACUAUUACUGGGCUUAAAGCGUUCGUAGCUGGUCUGUUAAGUCUCUGGGGAAAUCUGCCGGCUUAACCGGCAGGCGUUCCAGGGAUACUGGCAGACUGGGGACCGGGAGAGGUGAGGGGUACUCCAGGGGUAGGAGUGAAAUCCUGUAAUCCUUGGGGGACCACCUGUGGCGAAGGCGCCUCACCAGAACGGCUCCGACAGUGAGGGACGAAAGCUGGGGGAGCAAACCGGAUUAGAUACCCGGGUAGUCCCAGCUGUAAACGAUGCGCGUUAGGUGUAUCGGUGACCACGAGUCACCGAGGUGCCGAAGAGAAAUCGUGAAACGUGCCGCCUGGGAAGUACGGUCGCAAGGCUGAAACUUAAAGGAAUUGGCGGGGGAGCACA
Molecule: ribosomal RNA, 555 nt
Filed under: uncultured archaeon
Lineage: Archaea
Description: bacterial SSU rRNA
Rfam family: Archaeal small subunit ribosomal RNA
Source: RNAcentral